Non-coding RNA from Durio zibethinus, 432 nucleotides. Lineage: Eukaryota; Viridiplantae; Streptophyta; Magnoliopsida; Malvales; Malvaceae. The record is from RefSeq and is a predicted model, not a curated record.
AAAAACACUAAUAUGUUUCUUUUUUUGUUUAUUUUCAAUUUGAGAUUAAGGUUUGCUCAUCAGCAAUUGCUCCAUUUCUAUCAAUCGUGUCUUUGCCAAUUAGUGUUUUGAAUUUGUGAAGGUCAUCGACUAGAGUUUCUUCAACUUCAAGGGCUCCCCAACACCAACAUGAUCCUAUUAGACAAGAUGACAUGAAAGUUGAUAACAAUAGUCAACGAAAGACCAAAAGUUGGAUAACUUUGAAGGAAUUGUGGACACCACCUCUGAACGAGUGUAUUAUAGUGUUUGCAAACUCUAAUAGGCAACUAAUUGGUGAAGAGUGUUAACCGCUUGUUAGAUUUUUAGGAAUGAUAGCCCAUAAUGGCAUGAAAUUGCCUAUUCAUUACGAAACAUGGCAUAAAGUUUCAGUAGAAGUUAAGACUGAAACUUUAA